UGAUGUCUACCGAAGGCACAGGUGCUCCCAA
This 31-nucleotide non-coding RNA is filed under the name Homo sapiens (human). The record is from RNAcentral. Lineage: Eukaryota; Metazoa; Chordata; Mammalia; Primates; Hominidae.